Molecule: transfer RNA, 70 nt
Filed under: Ictidomys tridecemlineatus (thirteen-lined ground squirrel)
Lineage: Eukaryota; Metazoa; Chordata; Mammalia; Rodentia; Sciuridae
Description: Spermophilus tridecemlineatus (thirteen-lined ground squirrel) tRNA
Rfam family: tRNA
About the family: Transfer RNA (tRNA) molecules are approximately 80 nucleotides in length. Their secondary structure includes four short double-helical elements and three loops (D, anti-codon, and T loops).
Source: Rfam by way of RNAcentral
GGGAGCGUGGCUCAGAGUAGAGCACUUGCCUAGGAGCAUGUGGUCCUGGGAUCAAUCCCCAGCACUUCUU